RNAcentral lists this ribosomal RNA (656 nucleotides) under Aeromicrobium sp. ADB_BD094. RNAcentral describes it as "bacterial SSU rRNA". It matches the Rfam family "Bacterial small subunit ribosomal RNA", at positions 333 to 999 of the family's 1533-position model. The record is from RNAcentral. Lineage: Bacteria; Bacillati; Actinomycetota; Actinomycetes; Propionibacteriales; Nocardioidaceae.
AGACUCCUACGGGAGGCAGCAGUGGGGAAUAUUGGACAAUGGGCGAAAGCCUGAUCCAGCAACGCCGCGUGAGGCAUGACGGCCUUCGGGUUGUAAACCUCUUUCAGCAGGGACGAAGCGAAAGUGACGGUACCUGCAGAAGAAGGACCGGCCAACUACGUGCCAGCAGCCGCGGUAAUACGUAGGGUCCGAGCGUUGUCCGGAAUUAUUGGGCGUAAAGGGCUCGUAGGCGGUUUGUCACGUCGGAAGUGAAAACUCAGGGCUCAACCCUGAGCGUGCUUACGAUACGGGCAAACUAGAGGUAUGCAGGGGAGAACGGAAUUCCUGGUGUAGCGGUGGAAUGCGCAGAUAUCAGGAGGAACACCGGUGGCAAAGGCGGUUCUCUGGGCAUUACCUGACGCUGAGGAGCGAAAGCAUGGGGAGCGAACAGGAUUAGAUACCCUGGUAGUCCAUGCCGUAAACGUUGGGCGCUAGGUGUGGGGACCUUCCACGGUCUCCGUGCCGCAGCUAACGCAUUAAGCGCCCCGCCUGGGGAGUACGGCCGCAAGUCUAAAACUCAAAGGAAUUGACGGGGCCCGCACAAGCGGCGGAGCAUGCUGAUUAAUUCCAUGCAACGCGAAGAACCUUACCUGGGUUUGACAAAUGCCGGGAAAGCC